GAUUAACGCUAGCGGCAGGCAUAAUACAUGCAAGUUGAACGGGAUUAGUUGUAGCAAUAUGACUAUGAGAGUAGCGCACGGGUGCGUAACGCGUAUGCAACCUGCCUUCAUCUGGGGAAUAGCCCCCUCGAAAGAGGGAUUAAUACCGCAUAACAUAGUGAGUAGGCAUCUACUUACUAUUAAAACUACGGUGGAUGAAGAUGGGCAUGCGUGACAUUAGCUAGUUGGUAGGGUAAUGGCCUACCAAGGCUACGAUGUCUAGGGGGUCUGAGAGGAUGUCCCCCCACACUGGUACUGAGAUACGGACCAGACUCCUACGGGAGGCAGCAGUAGGGAAUAUGGUCAAUGGGCGCAAGCCUGAACCAGCCAUGCCGCGUGCAGGAUGACGGCCCUAAUGGGUUGUAAAACUGCUUUUGUACGGGAAGAAACCUCAUUACGUGUAAUGAGUUGACGGUACCGUGAGAAUAAGGAUCGGCUAACUUCGUGCCAGCAGCCGACGG
Molecule: ribosomal RNA, 500 nt
Filed under: uncultured bacterium
Lineage: Bacteria
Description: bacterial SSU rRNA
Rfam family: Bacterial small subunit ribosomal RNA
Source: RNAcentral